GCCACGCCGGCAGCGAAUCACCUCCAUGGUGCCUUCCGGUUGUGUACCCGUGUACACUCCGUAGUACGUGUUACAAAUCGGACACGCCGGUUUCAACCUAAAGGCAGUGUCGAUGCAGUCUGAGCAGUAUGAAUGAAGACAAUCUAAUGUCCUUUUGUCGUGAAUUUUGUCCAGACAAAUGGCACAGCUUUCCACGCUGUUGGGAUCCGCGGCGUGUUUCUGUGAUGUCUUUGCCAUACUUUUUCCGGGAUGUGAUGCCUCUGACGUUAAACAGCCCAACUGCUCACAUGGGUCAGAUGCUAAAUCCUGAUUGGUCGAGCAGUAAGCGGAAAUGCAUGUGCAAAUCAUCUUGCUGACGUCAUUGUUUGAAAUGUGGUGAUGACGUUUUGAAAUCCUGUCGUCAUCGAGGUACCGAUCGUGAAAGUAAGGCGCUGCUCGAAGGCCCGGCGCAGGAGGCCCAGCACGCGGUUCCCCUCAGGGCUGUCAGGGAGGUUUAUGAGGAGGGAGAAGACAUGAAACAAACCUAGAGCUGGUUAGGUUCCAGG
This is a long non-coding RNA of Nerophis ophidion (straightnose pipefish), 545 nucleotides long. RefSeq lists it as uncharacterized. The record is from RefSeq and is a predicted model, not a curated record. Lineage: Eukaryota; Metazoa; Chordata; Actinopteri; Syngnathiformes; Syngnathidae. The transcript has 3 exons.